GUUAACAGCAACAAGUCACGUUGGACGACAAGAGGGCAGAGCUUCACACACACACCCACAUUUUUACACACCRACCUCAUAAAUACAGAGGCAGCACAAGCAUAGGAAGCAAAUCAUUCUCCUUCUGAGUCAGGAAAACCCUUUGUUUUGAUCUCACCAACAAGACAAAAUGAGUGAUCCUCAUGCAACAACUCCUGCAGCAGGGGAUGCUCAGGAAUGCAAAGGAAAGAAGGACGGACAUGGACACGGAGAAGGAAAGGGACAUGGACAUGGACACGGAGAGGGAAAGGGACAUGGACACGGAGAGGGAAAGGGACAAGGUCAUGGUGACAAAGAAGGUCAUGGACAUGGACAUGGCAAGAAAUGAAAGAAACCAUAGUGUUACAUAAGAAAUGAUGAAAUCACUAAAUUGAUAUUUUGUGAUGUUGUUUAAUCUAUAAUGGUAUUGCAACUCUAAUAAAAUACUCCAUUGCACAA
Austrofundulus limnaeus is the source of this 477-nucleotide long non-coding RNA. RefSeq lists it as uncharacterized. The record is from RefSeq and is a predicted model, not a curated record. NCBI's taxonomy places the organism in Eukaryota, Metazoa, Chordata, Actinopteri, Cyprinodontiformes, Rivulidae. The transcript has 6 exons.